Molecule: ribosomal RNA, 1391 nt
Filed under: metagenome
Description: bacterial SSU rRNA
Rfam family: Archaeal small subunit ribosomal RNA
Source: RNAcentral
UUCGACUAAGCCAUGCAAGUUUUCUCGCAAGAGAGGCACAAUGCUCAGUAACACGUCAAUAAUCUGCCCUCAGAUCAGGGAUAACCUUGGGAAACUGAGGAUAAUACCUGAUAGGGGAUUGAUACUGGAAUGUUCUUUCCCUUAAACGUAAGGUCUGAGGAUGAGUUGGCGGCGGAUUAGGUAGUUGGCGAGGUAAAGGCUCACCAAGCCGAAGAUCCGUAGGGGCCUUGAGAGAGGUAGCCCCGAGAAGGACACUGAGAUACUGGUCCUAGCCCUACGGGGUGCAGCAGGCGCGGAACCUCUGCAAUGCACGCAAGUGUGACAGGGGAACUCUGAGUGCUUAUACUUAGUAUAGGCUUUUGCCAAGAGCAAAAAUCUUGGCGAAUAAGUGGUGGGUAAGACUGGUGCCAGCAGCCGCGGUAACCCCAGCGCCACAAGUGGCAAUCAUCAUUAUUGGGUCUAAAGCGUUCGUAGCCGGUCUUGUAAGUCUUUGUGAAAUUGUUGUUCUACAGACAACGGCGAGCAAAAGAUACUGCAAGACUAGGGACCGGUAAGGGUAAGGAGUAUGCCAAGGGGAGCGGUAAAAUGUUAUAAUCCUUGGUAGACUACCUGUGGCGGAGGCGCCUUACUAGGACGGGUCCGACGGUGAGGAACGAAAGCUAGGGGAGCGAAACGGAUUAGAUACCCGUGUAGUCCUAGCCGUAAACACUGUGAGCAAGAUGUUGCAUAUUCUUCGUGAAUGUGCAGUGUCGAAGAGAAGUCAUUAAGCUCACCACCUGGGGAGUAUGGUCGCAAGGCUGAAACUUAAAGGAAUUGGCGGGGGAGCACCACAAGGGGUGCGGCGUGCGGUUUAAUCUAAUUCAACACAGAGCAUCUCACCAGUAGCGACGGCAGGAUGAAGAUCAGUCUGAAGGGCUUAUCUGACGAGCCGAGAGGUAGUGCAUGGCCGCCGCCAGCUCGUGCCGUAAGGCGUCCUGUUAAGUCAGGCAACGAGCAAGACCUGCAUCUACAAUUGCUAACGACUUCUUCGGAAGAAUCGAGCACAUUGUAGGGACUGCCCGGGAAACUGGGAGGAAGGCGCAGGCUACGGUAGGUCUGUAUGCUCCGAAUCCACUGGGCUACACGCGCGCAACAAUGGUAAUGACAAAAGGAUGCCACUCCGAAAGGGGAAGCUAAUCCCAAAAACAUUGCCCUAGUAUAGAUUGAGGGUUGUAACUCACCCUCAUGACAUUGGAAUCCCUAGUAAUCAGAUGUUAUCAGCGUCUGGUGAAUAUGUCCCUGCUCCUUGCACACACUGCCCGUCAAACCACUCGAGCCGAGUUCAGGUGAGACCUAGUUGUAAAUUAGGGCGAAUCUAAACUCAGUGAGAUGGGUUAAGUCGUCACAAGGUA